RNAcentral lists this ribosomal RNA (406 nucleotides) under uncultured bacterium. Its description in RNAcentral is "partial 16S ribosomal RNA". It matches the Rfam family "Bacterial small subunit ribosomal RNA", at positions 28 to 526 of the family's 1533-position model. The record is from RNAcentral.
GACGAACGCUGGCGGCGUGCCUAAUACAUGCAAGUAGAACGAGUUGCGAACGGGUGAGUAACGAGUGGUAACCUUACUCAUAGCGGGGGAUAACUAUUGGAAACGAUAGCUAAUACCGCAUACCAUCGGAUGUGCCCAGAUGGGAGUAGCUAGUAGGUGGGGUAAUGGCUAACCUAGGCGACGAUCCCGAGCUGGUCUGAGAGGAUGACCAGCCACACUGGAACUGAGACACGGUCCAGACUCCUACGGGAGGAAGCAGUGGGGAAUAUUGCACAAUGGGCGCAAGCCUGAUGCAGCCAUGCCGCGUGUAUGAAGAAGGCCUUCGGGUUGUAAAGUACUUUCAGCGAGGAGGCGUUACUCGCAGAAGAAGCACCGGCUAACUCCGUGCCAGCAGCCGCGGUAAUUC